CAACAGUCUUUAACUGACUGAAUAAGACCCACCUACAAUAUGAAGGAUAAUCUGCUUUUCAUAAAAUCUACUGAAUGAAAUAUUAAUCUACAAAAUGCCUAAAUCUAAAUGGAGGCUUCAGGAUUUUUGAUCCUAGGAUUACAGCCUGGAGUGGAGGUCAUGUGACCAGCUGCCAGGUAUUCUGUCGCAGCAACAAGACAACUAAUACAGAAGGUGACGCCCGCCCUGUGGAAGGAGGACAGGUGUUUGGCAGCAUGUGCGUGAAGCGAAUUUGGGGCCCUGCCUUCCUCCUCUUUGCUUCCUGGACACCGUGAGGUGAGCAGCUUUCCUCUGCAUGUGCUUGCUGCCACCAUGCCUUGCCUGCCUUGCCAUCGCCCAAAACAGUGCAGCCAACCACAGACUGAAGCCUCAGAAGCCACAAGCCAAAUUCAAUCUUUCUUCAUUUUGAAUCGACUUUUAUAAGCUUGCUUUUUCCCAGUCUGUCAUACUUGACCAGCAUUUCUGGAGCCUGGAGCCUGCUGUCCAGCGGCUGAUGAUUCUAUUACCACUCUAAUGGGAGGAACACAAGAUAUUUCCCAGAAGAUGUGAGAGUUCUGAAUGAACAGUUAUGUCACAAAGCAAAAUUAUCUACCACUUCCUCUUUUAGGGAAGCUUAAAUUCCCAUUAAGAGUAAAACUGGAGCUGAGGAUGGUGGCACACUCCUAUAACAUGGGAGGAAUACCACAAGUUCCAGGCCAGUUAGGGUUACACAGCAAGGCCCCAUCUCAAGAGCAAAUCAAACAACUGCAAAACAAAACAAUAAAAAUUAAGAGUCAGGAACCAAACAUAUGUCAAGAGUGUGAGUGUGAGGAGAGAAUGAAUGAAUGAAAGUCAA
Molecule: non-coding RNA, 874 nt
Organism: Peromyscus maniculatus bairdii (prairie deer mouse)
Lineage: Eukaryota; Metazoa; Chordata; Mammalia; Rodentia; Cricetidae
Source: RefSeq, a predicted model, not a curated record